This 465-nucleotide ribosomal RNA is filed under the name uncultured bacterium. Its description in RNAcentral is "partial 16S ribosomal RNA". It matches the Rfam family "Bacterial small subunit ribosomal RNA", at positions 338 to 795 of the family's 1533-position model. The record is from RNAcentral.
CCUACGGGUGGCUGCAGUGGGGAAUUUUGCGCAAUGCUCGUAAGAGUGACGCAGCGACGCCGCGUGAAUGACGAAUGCCUUCGGGUCGUAAAGUUCUUUCGACAGGGAAGUAAAUGCAUAUAAGUAACUGUGUAUGUAUUUACUGUACCUGUAUGAGCAGCCCCGGCUAACUCCGUGCCAGCAGCCGCGGUAAUACGGAGGGUGCGAGCGUUAAUCGGAUUUACUGGGCGUAAAGCGCUCGUAGGCGUUAUGUCAAGUCAAGGGUGAAAUCCCCGCGCUCAACGUGGGAACUGCCUUUGAAACUGGCAAACUUGAGUGUAUGAGAGGAUAGUGGAAUUCCAGGUGUAGGAGUGAAAUCCGUAGAUAUCUGGAGGAACAUCAGUGGCGAAGGCGACUAUCUAGCACAUCACUGACGCUGAGGAGCGAAAGCGUGGGUAGCAAACAGGAUUAGAUACCCUUGUAGUC